This 64-nucleotide transfer RNA is filed under the name Chaetocnema obesa. Its description in RNAcentral is "tRNA-Asn". The record is from RNAcentral. Lineage: Eukaryota; Metazoa; Arthropoda; Insecta; Coleoptera; Chrysomelidae.
UUAAUUGAAACCAAAAAGAGGUCUAUCACUGUUAAUGAUAAAAUUGAGACAUUCUCCAAUUAAA